RNAcentral lists this ribosomal RNA (1077 nucleotides) under Triticum aestivum (bread wheat). Its description in RNAcentral is "partial small subunit ribosomal RNA". The record is from RNAcentral. Lineage: Eukaryota; Viridiplantae; Streptophyta; Magnoliopsida; Poales; Poaceae.
AUGAAGGCCUCCAUCAAGUUCCGCGACGACGACCGGCCGCUGCUGCGCGCCAAGGUGCCCAUCGGCGUGCUCGGGCUGCCGUUCCUCUCGGGCGUCUCGGCCGGCGGCGACGCCGAGGACCUCCGCUUCGAUCUCUCCACCGCCUUCCCCUCCGGCCCGGGGCUCCGCCUCUCGUACCGCCCCAACGACCCGCUCCAGCCCUUCGCGCUCUCCAUCCGCACGGGCCUCGGCGCGCUCGGCUCUCCCGUCCGCGCCCCCUUGGCGCUCUCCGCCGAGUUCAACCUCCUCUCCUCCAACCCGCCCGCCUUCUCGCUCCUCUUCAAGCCCCGGCUCGGCGACUUCUCCCUCGCCAACUCCGUCCGCUCGCCGCCCUUCCCCGACACCCCCGCGCUGCCGCCGCCCCACAAGCUGGCCGACCUCGCCAACGGCGACGACCACGACCAUGAGGGCCACAAGGAGUUCUCCCUCAACGGGAACGGGUUCGCGGCGGACGUCACGGCCGCCGGGACCACCGGCGGAGGGGUGGGCAUGCUGCUGUCCGGGAUGCGCCUCACGACCAGGAGCAUGCUGCCGCUGUGGAACAGGGCGAGCCUGAGGUUCCAGUGGGGGCUGCGUGUGCCACCAGAGCUGAAGGCCGCGCUCGCUGACGAUGGAUACGGGCGGAAGGCGGGGAGCCUGGCUGUCAGCAAGCUGCCGCUGCUCGUCAUGAACAAGAUCACAAUUGAGCACACACCACGCCGGCAUCCCAAGUCUGAAGAGGACAAGAAGGGGAAGAGCGCGCCUGUAGCCCAGGGAGAGGAAUUCUCAUUGAUGAAGAGGCAGCUGGAGGCCCUGAACGAUGAGAGCAUCAUGCUGCGGCACACUGUGGAGGGCCUGCGCGCUGAGAUCGGGGUCAGCCGAGCUAUCUCAGUUCCCAGCAAGGGCGACGCUCGAAGGAUGCCGGCAACGUCGCCGCCUCUGCAAAAUCCUUUCCCCGUGAAGCCUGAUCUCCAUGGAAAUGGGAAGGAGCUGGUGGCCAGUGGACCGAAUGAUGCCAGCGAGGAGCUGAAGAAGGCACUCGAGGCCCGGAGGAAGUGA